This 232-nucleotide ribosomal RNA is filed under the name Escherichia coli. Its description in RNAcentral is "partial 23S ribosomal RNA". It matches the Rfam family "Bacterial large subunit ribosomal RNA", at positions 2711 to 2925 of the family's 2925-position model. The record is from RNAcentral. Lineage: Bacteria; Pseudomonadati; Pseudomonadota; Gammaproteobacteria; Enterobacterales; Enterobacteriaceae.
GGUGUUCGGGUUGUCAUGCCAAUGGCACUGCCCGGUAGCUAAAUGCGGAAGAGAUAAGUGCUGAAAGCAUCUAAGCACGAAACUUGCCCCGAGAUGAGUUCUCCCUGACUCCUUGAGAGUCCUGAAGGAACGUUGAAGACGACGACGUUGAUAGGCCGGGUGUGUAAGCGCAGCGAUGCGUUGAGCUAACCGGUACUAAUGAACCGUGAGGCUUAACCUUACAACGCCGAAG